CAGGAUUCAAUGAAGAGGAGCAUUAAUUUCGGGUGUGUCACGCAGAGAGCCGGUGUUCUUGGUGCGAGCCGGUUGACGAAGUCGAAAUGAACUCGCCUCUGAGAAACGGCGACAACCGCGAGGGACUUCAGAAAGGACAGCAAUGCCUGCUGACCGAAGGAAGCUUUCCAAGCGUUAACCGACGUCGGCCCGCCCCCGUUACAGGGCGUUAGAGUGAGCAAGCGGUGAUUUGGGAAGUCCGCCUGCUAACUAGGGUGGUACCACGGGAAUUCAGCCUCUCGUCCCUAGC
This 289-nucleotide non-coding RNA is filed under the name Paenibacillus sabinae. Its description in RNAcentral is "T-box sequence". It matches the Rfam family "T-box leader". From Rfam's summary of the family: Uncharged tRNA acts as the effector for transcription antitermination of genes in the T-box leader family. T-boxes are found upstream of many aminoacyl-tRNA synthetase genes and some amino acid biosynthetic genes usually in Gram-positive bacteria. Lineage: Bacteria; Bacillati; Bacillota; Bacilli; Caryophanales; Paenibacillaceae. The record is from RNAcentral.